Molecule: small RNA, 199 nt
Filed under: Aspergillus calidoustus
Lineage: Eukaryota; Fungi; Ascomycota; Eurotiomycetes; Eurotiales; Aspergillaceae
Description: A. fumigatus sRNA Afu_182
Rfam family: A. fumigatus sRNA Afu_182
Source: Rfam by way of RNAcentral
UCAUGAACAACGCAAAAUCAACAUUCUUCCAAAAAGCGUUCCUACGAGGGAUCAAUCCUUGAUUGAUACCUAUGAAGUACGGAAAUCGUCAUACAGAAUGGAGAACGACUGCACAUUGCAGGAGUAUCGAUCUUGGGUGCAGUGCCUACCUGGCCCCUACGGGGCUUGGUGGGAGGGACUGCAAUGAUUGGUUCUACAC